UGGCGCGCGCACAGCUUCUCUGACCAGUGCAGGAGUGACGAGUGGAAUUUCUUGCUCUCCCUUUCUUACUUUUACAUCGGGUUCCACAAACCACCAAAGUGUUUUCUGUGUGUGCCUCCUGCUCCCCUAAGGCCAUGCCUAAUAAGGGAAACAAACGCCCUAAGGGCUGCAUGCCGGAUAAGAAGCCAAGUCAAGACCGGAUUAAGACGCAGACGAAGGAGCAGAAGGACGACAAGGCAAAAGAAGCAACUCCCAAAGAGAAGGAUAAAAAAUAAGACCGAGUCCAGGCCAUCGCAUCCCUCAGCCCUGCGGGUACCAAUGUCCCAGCGGUCUUCGCUCUCCAGCCUUCUUUCGCCUUCUUUUCUAUCUCCCUCUUUGUCUUCUCCUCAACAAGCGCUUGUCUUACUAAUGUCCCGGAGUACACUCUACGUCCUCUUAGCCAGUGCUCGGCCCUAAUUGCAUAAGGGACGUGCAACCUGGAACGAAUUUCCGUCUCUCAGCGUCAGCGCUGCGCUCUGCUGGGAUUUCGGUAUUCUGACAUUCUUCCCGCCAGAGACGCUUCUGCCUCUUCCAUCAUCUUCGUAAUGGUACCUGUGCUAAUACUUCACCCACCUAACCCACCUACAACUACCUGUGCUACUUAGCCCCUUCUCUCUCUCUCUCUCUCUCUCUCUCUCUGGAAAUCCUUCAACAUUCGUCCAAGUCUGUUUUCGCUGCUUGAGCCAGGCAGGCAGGCAGCUUCGUCGGCUGCUUGAAAAUGGUCGUGUCAUCACCAGUCUUGACGUUUUUCUCCCAUGAAAUUUGACAAGAAAUCGGAUAAAAAAAAAUUUGGAAUGUAUUUUUAAAGAUCGCCGAAAAUAAUUUGUAUCAACGUUAACUGUGAACCUCAUUUGUGAUAUCGAUUUCUUAUUUGACUUAGAUCAUGGGUUUCAAUUGACAACAAAAGAAGGUAAAUCGAGACUGCCUAUUUUCGAGACAUUCUCCAUGGAAAUGCAGAAACGCUGUUAAGAGCAUAAAAGUUAUUGGUCAAUUAAAAAUUGGAACGAUCUAUGAACUAUCAGCUUAGGUACAUGUUCAUUUUGACAUCAAGGCAAAUCAGUCUAUUUCCCCUGGCCACAAGAUAACCGCCCUUUCGUCCUCUCCCAAUGGAGUUAUAAUGCCUGAAAGGACCCAGCAUCUUCUUGCUCUAUUUUACACGCUCUAUAAUGAUCUCCGCUUUAAGGAGACUAUUAUGAUACCUUCCAGUGUUCAUGGUUUAAUGAGCAAAAAUAGACGACACCAAAGCCUGUCGUAGCAAGUCGACGACGGUAAUGAAAAAGGAGAAACGAUGUCAGCGAAAGUAAGGACGUCGAUGAUAACGUAAAAGAAUAAUUGAUGAAACUGAGGACGUUCUCCUGCAUAUUUUUCCCCUGCCUGGCUUAUUAUCUCUUCGUCUUUUCUCUCCGCUGUUCCACGACACUCACCUCGACGCUUCUUACUUGCUCGGCUCUCUCCUUUUCUCUUUUUCAUUUUCCCACUUUCCCAGAGCACUUCAGUGUUGUCGCCGAGUUUUGAGCGCUCUCCGACUUCGCAAACAAUGAACCCUAAUUGUUCUAUCUUGUUUCCUUCUCUGCUUCAUUGAAUACACACUCUCCUCCUCCUCCUCCUCCUCCUCCUCUCUCUCUCUCUCUCUCUCUCUCUCUCUCUCUCUCUGAGAAUGAUGGGUCAUUCUGUGUAUAAAGAUAGGUUCAUUUUCUGCAGUGAUAACUUCAAGUGUCUAAUGUGACACAGACGGUUACACUGCGGCAGAAUUUUGCGGUAAAGAUUUAGCAGAGGAAUCAUCUAUGUAUUUCUCAAAUGUCAGUUACCUUUCCAUUUUCUUAUUACAUUCCUCUCAUUCAUCACUUCUCCCGUUCUCUGUCAACUUUCAUCUUCUUCUUCUUCACUGGAAGAUGGAGGAAGUUUAGGCAGUUAGGAAGAAUGUCGGUGCCUUCCCCAAAUGGCGCCUCUUCCAGUCUUUCUCAUCUCCAUAUUAUGACUCCUUCAAUGUAGAAUGUAACGUGUAACUUUUUUGAACUCUUCGCCUUGGAAUAGACGUUUCCAUUCCUUGGGAGCCCUUCAGGCCGAAACCUGUUUCUACUACUUCUCUCAUUUUAUAGUUCUACGAAAUGGCACCAUUGAAUUAAUCUGCAUUGGCUGUUGCAUUAUAGGCUUUUUCGUAUUGGUGGAUGAUCCAUAAUAAACGACAGAGGAUGGAAGUCAUUGGUACAAGACAUAGCUAGAACUGAUUUAGUCUUACAUGCUGGUGAUUUAUUGUGGAAAAAAUGCACAAAGAAUGCUAUUGCUUACUUGAUUGGAGAAUUGAUAGUAAACGAGUCAAGUUUUUGGUCGAGAUGUACAAGAGAAACUUUGUAGUCAGUUUGCUGGUCCUGACUGAAGUAAAUCAACCAACGUAGUGUUUUUUGACUUUUCGGAAUCUUCAUUAAGACCAACUCAAAUGUCAGUUCAUAGGUCAGAUUUCAUAUCAGAGGUAAAUGUCAGUAAGAAGUUCAAAGACUUAGAAUGAUCAGAGGAAGGAAGGAAAUGAUAGCAAAUCCAAGGUGAAUAAUUGCCAGUUCUGGGACACUCCAGCAAUUUGGCAAUUAACCACUAGAGAAUUUUCAUUGCAAAUCAUAGAGGCUACUUUCAACCCUAAUAGUAUGAUACCAUAUGAUUUGUAAGUUAGUCAUUCCUUUUUCUAAAACAUGAUCCUAUAAUCAUAACUGAUAAAGGCCAGUUAAUAUUCUCAUCAAAUGUAAAUGAUACCUACACCUUGUUGUCACCACGUGGACAUCUGUAUACCAUUUGCGUGUGCAUCCUGUUAGUCGCAAGAUAAGCUUAGUCCGUUCUGUUAACUGCUAUAUGUCAUGUGGUAAUAUUUGUGAGGCCAUACAUGUAUGUUAUUACUCUAUUUCAAUAAUGUAUUUGAGCCGGAGCAUUGAAAAAAUAAAAAAAAUAUUUAUCAUGUACUGACUCAUCAUGAUAGGAGUGUAUAAAUUUCUCUCUGUGUAUAAGUGUGAGUAAUGCUGGUUUGAUCAAUUAAUAUCUUACAGAAUCAGCAAACUUUGGUGAUAUCUGAUGUGGCUGGCUACCUAGACUAAUAUUGCUCUAGGUCAAAUUUCUAAGGAUCAUAACAGAAUUUGGGAUGUUUAUGUACAGCGCCAUAAGGGGUUGGGUGUCUUAUGGAGAAGCGAAGACGGCAUCUGGAGUCGAGAGGGUGAAUUCAAAUCGUGUGGACUACUUCUCUCAUAACAGCUCGAAGUAGUGAGUCCGGAACUCUCACUGGUAAGAACAGAUCUUAAAACUUUUUAAGGUAUUUAGACCAUGCUAAGGGGAGACCAAAGUUUGGCGGUUCCGUGAUAUUCCUAAAAACAAAAAUAAACAAAAAAAUGUUACAGUGACCCUCACGACACUGUUGCCUUAUGGAAUAGUGGAAUGGUUAACUUUGCUAAAAAAAAAUUUUUCCACAUUAGCUUACAGUAGAUGUUUAACUGUUUAGAAUGUGAGCUGAGACCAGUUAGUCAUUAUCCUUAACUCUCCCCCUUUUUUGGGAAUGUUUGUAGAAAACCCUCUUUUCAAAAGUGAAAAAAAAGUUAACCAACAGUACUUAUCAUAACCAAGUUCGUUUUAGUGUGUAUAAGAUAAGUGAGGCCCAUACCCUCCUUCCCACGUGCCCCCCAAGUACCUAAUCCCAGUCUGGCUGGUCACUUCCCAUAUUCACAUACUGAGCCCAAACUAAGUUUAGGUGGUAAUUGUUAGUUCUAGAAUGAUGACAUGAAAUACUUCACAAUAAUGAUAACAGUAAUGACAACCCCCAUCGAAAGCCUUAACACGCCUUGCAGUUGAGGAGGAACCAACCUUAAUUCCCUUACCAAAGCAUAAUGAGAAUCAUGGUAGAUGAAAUCAAAGACAGACAUAUGAAGCUCCGAUCAUCAUUAGAUGUUGCUAGGUGGAUGUGAACCUAUCGGUGUUCAGCUUGGCGGUAUUUGUUUUGAGUAUUUGCGGUCUCUAUGAUUCAAGUGUUUCUGUUCAUGGCUGCAUAGAAUAACAAACAUCACCCUGAAAAGAACACUAUUGGUGUUGCUCUCUUCAUCAUGUCUGGGACUGACAUCACCAAAUAUCAUUGACUAAUGAUAAUAAGAGUGAUCACCAUGAAGGCAGUCCACACGCUGAUAUAUAUAAAAAAGCCAGUCAUAAUAUCAUUAGCCUUUCAACCUAAAGUGUUACAUCUGAUGAAGAUUUAUUAGUCAGAUUAUUGAUUUCAAUGUAAAUACAAUACAAAUUUGAUUUAAGAUUGAAAGACGAUUUGUGAUCGAAAGAAGUUAAUGCCACCAUCAGCAGCUUUGUAGAGUCUAGGCCUAGAACAGAACGGUGGCACUGCAUCCGCCAGCUUGACGUAAGAAAGACCAGACGACGACGACGACCAUGUUACGGGCUGCUGAAAAGCAAGAGCCCGUGCCAGCACAAAGCUGGCUUCAUUUAACUGCUGCUGACGACGACCAUAGAUAGAGGGAGGGCGCAUCUGGAGCCUCUUCCGCAGCCCUCGGUUUCCAUCCUGCUCUCGCUGCUCGGUGGUGACGGCAACCAAACCCACAACAACACCUGUAGAGGACUGAGGAAUGACAAUAUUAUAUUUUUGCUAUUUUCUCAUCUUUCUAGAGUAAAUAAAGAGGUAUUUUACACACUACAUUUUGUCUUUUCUAAUUUUUGGAGGAUAUUUUUUGAAGCUAAACUAGUAGUGUGGGAGGUGAUAUGUACUGCUUGAUUAGUGUCUUGCAAUGUGGGACUUACUGACAACAGGAUUUUCUUCAGUGUUUAAGAAAACUAAACUCAAAGCGAACUCAUGCAUUAUGCGUUGCAACUUUUGGUACGAUGAAAAUCCUGCGAGUUAACUCUAUCGCUUUUGUAACUCACGUAGGCUAAUAGGUAGUAGAGCGAUGAUUGGCGUGGCAACGCACUUCAAACAGCUAUGAAUUUGUCUCUUCAUUAGAAAUGUAACGAAUAAAAAUACCCGAGAGCUUAUUUCUUCCCCAGAACACAUUGGCGUUAGUAUAUAUAUACUAUAUUAUAUCUGUAAAGUUCAAAACGAGCGCAGAUACCCUGCGAAGCACAAAUACUUUCCCAACGAAACCUGCGUAACGUAACUAGAGAAGAGAGCAGCUUGAACAAACCCUGCCCCCUUUUGUACUGAAACUUAUUUUGCGAAAGAAAUAUGUCUCGGCUUUGCUGUGUAUAAAGAAAAUCAAGGUGGUAGAUAUUUAGUGUUUUGCAUUCGUAGCCUCUACGUAGUUGAUAUCAGUCGUGCGUUGUAGACAGGCAACAGCAAGAAGCUUCUAGAAGAUUCUGGCGUCAGCAGCACCAGCAGCAGCAGCAACGUUUUUAAUGAGUCUAAUCCUCAGAGCCUUAGAUUCUUCUUCUACACUUGGUGUUUCACAAAAGAGAAUCAGCACGUCAAUAAAUGCUUUGCUGGCUAUCACUGAACAGGAUAAAUCAUCUUCCAUAUCAGUGCCUCACCAUCUCUCGUUUUUAUAGUUUGAUGUUUGGCAAAAUUUCACCGAGAAACCCAAUUCACCUUAGGAAUGAAUAUAGCUACAAUCUAUAUUCAUCGAACAUAGUUUGAAAUUUAGAGGUUUAUCUAUCUGGGCCAAAGAGGAACAUUCUGGACAAUCUAUUUUUUCUAUUUACAUGGAUUUCGGAUACAAGAUUUAUUUUCUGAAGGUAUAAUAUUAAAGUCUUCUGAUUAACACAAACAGCAUGUGAUGUAUAUUUUCAGCAGUGCUGUAAAUGGGUAAGCAAAUAUAUAUUUCAGUCUUUUCAUAAAGAUGUGUUUUAUGGUGUCAUAUACAAUACAUAUAUACAGGUACUUAUAUAUAAAUAUAUACAUACAUAUUCAGUCAGUUAUUUAGAUGUUGAGGAGACUGCCAAUUAAUCAAAAUCUAAUUGCAUAUUGAGUGUAAUGAAUAAAAAUUGUAUUACA
Long non-coding RNA from Macrobrachium nipponense, 5995 nucleotides. RefSeq lists it as uncharacterized. The transcript has 3 exons. Lineage: Eukaryota; Metazoa; Arthropoda; Malacostraca; Decapoda; Palaemonidae. The record is from RefSeq and is a predicted model, not a curated record.